This 402-nucleotide ribosomal RNA is filed under the name uncultured bacterium. RNAcentral's name for it is "bacterial SSU rRNA". It matches the Rfam family "Bacterial small subunit ribosomal RNA", at positions 355 to 748 of the family's 1533-position model. The record is from RNAcentral.
UGGGGAAUUUUGGACAAUGGGCGAAAGCCUGAUCCAGCCAUGCCGCGUGAGUGAAGAAGGCCUUCGGGUUGUAAAGCUCUUUUAGUCGGAAAGAAAGAGUCGCAAUGAAUAAUUGUGAUUUAUGACGGUACCGACAGAAAAAGCACCGGCUAACUACGUGCCAGCAGCCGCGGUAAUACGUAGGGUGCGAGCGUUAAUCGGAAUUACUGGGCGUAAAGGGUGCGCAGGCGGUUUUGCAAGUCAGAUGUGAAAGCCCCGGGCUUAACCUGGGAAUUGCGUUUGAAACUACAAGGCUAGAGUGCAGCAGAGGGGAGUGGAAUUCCAUGUGUAGCAGUGAAAUGCGUAGAGAUGUGGAAGAACACCGAUGGCGAAGGCAGCUCCCGUGGGUUGACACUGACGCUG